GUAAAGAAACUGGCAAACCCAGAGGAUGGGGAAAGGCCAGAAGAGAUGUAAGCAGCUCAGGGGAAAAGCAGCAAGGUACAGGGAAUAGACCUUGGUUGCUGUGUAGAGGGUCUCUGAGGCAGAACCUGAAUAAAGCAUGGGCCUGGGAUCAGGGCUUUGGAGCAGAGUGCAAAACAGCAGGUUUUUGCCUGGAGCUGGAGCAGAGCCAGAGCACAGCUCCAAAGCCCUGUCUGUGUUCCUCUGCCAGCCUCUGUGGGAGUGGCACUGUGAGGCAGUGAAGCAGAAGACCACAUGAGAUUGCUGAAGAGCAGGAACCUUGGUAAACUCCCCCCAGGAAGGAGAAAUCACAAUAGUGACCUGGCUAGAGGGCUGAGUCAUGAAGAGGACACCUGUAGUUCCUGAGAGAGGCACAGCAGAGGAGAAACCAACAGGGUGUAACAACAGGAAGGGAAGUCAGCCUGAUCGUACUAGUCCCCAGAACUGCUAGCAGGCAGCACUAUCCAGUGGUUUUUGUGAAGGGCCUCCGAUAUCAAAUGGGCCGCCUUGGCCUGGACCUGAAGAAAGUGAAAGAAAAAUUUUGAGUCUAGCUCAACACCGACUUUUCUCAAUAUGCUGAGUUAUUUCAGACCACCUUGAAACAAGAAGCCAGCUCCAGCUUGACUUCUACAGCAGACAAGGAUGGAUAAGUACUAAAAUCUUUAGAUGUUUCAGUUUUGAACCUCCUUAGAAGAC
Long non-coding RNA from Mauremys reevesii (Reeves's turtle), 732 nucleotides. RefSeq lists it as uncharacterized. The record is from RefSeq and is a predicted model, not a curated record. The transcript has 3 exons. NCBI's taxonomy places the organism in Eukaryota, Metazoa, Chordata, Testudines, Geoemydidae.